Molecule: ribosomal RNA, 396 nt
Filed under: Triticum aestivum (bread wheat)
Lineage: Eukaryota; Viridiplantae; Streptophyta; Magnoliopsida; Poales; Poaceae
Description: partial small subunit ribosomal RNA
Source: RNAcentral
AUGCUUAUACAUCUAUGUUCCUUUUCAUGCUAUGCUCUUCGGCAGCUUGUUAUCUUGCACUUAUUACUGGUAUUAUGGUUAUAUCUCAUGCUUGAUAGUAGUAGCAGUGUGUUGUUUUCUGAUGCAUGUUUACGAUCUGUUAUAUGGUGCUGUAGCUACGCAUGUUACUUUGCUUCCAGUUGGUUAUAUGCUUACUUGGUCGUAUUCUGGAUAAGUUCUUGCAUGUUAUUUAUGAUGCUAGUGGUCAUGAUAUUCUCAUGUGUAAUGUUAUGCUCGUCAGUUUACCAUGCUGAUUUGGUUAAUGUUUCAUUAUGGUUAUGCUCGAUGAUUAUGUUGCACUUCCAUGCUUAUGUUGAUUCAUGUUCAUGCAUUGUAGUUGCAUCAUGUUAUAUUUAA